AUUGAACGCUGGCGGCAGGCCUAACACAUGCAAGUCGAGCGGAGCGGCCGACGGGUGAGUAAUGCCUAGGUAUCUGCCUGGUAGUGGGGGAUAACGUCAGGUAACGGGCGCUAAUACCGCAUCCUAUCAGAUGAGCCUAGGCCGGAUUAGCUAGUUGGUGGGGUAAAGGCGUACCAAGGCGACGAUCCGUAGCUGGUCUGAGUGGAUGAUCAGUCACACUGGAACUGAGACACGGUCCAGACUCCUACGGGAGGCAGCAGUGGGGAAUAUUGGACAAUGGGCGAAAGCCUGAUGCAGCCAUGCCGCGUGUGUGAAGAAGGUCUUCGGAUUGUAAAGCACUUUAAGUUGGGAGGCGUUACCAACAGAAUAAGCACCGGCUAACUUCGUGCCAGCAGCCGCGGUAAUUC
Molecule: ribosomal RNA, 407 nt
Filed under: uncultured bacterium
Lineage: Bacteria
Description: partial 16S ribosomal RNA
Rfam family: Bacterial small subunit ribosomal RNA
Source: RNAcentral